UUAAGCGACUAAGCGUACACGGUGGAUGCCCUGGCAGUCAGAGGCGAUGAAGGACGUGCUAAUCUGCGAAAAGCGUCGGUAAGGUGAUAUGAACCGUUAUAACCGGCGAUGUCCGAAUGGGGAAACCCAGUGUGAUUCGUCACACUAUCGUUAACUGAAUACAUAGGUUAACGAGGCGAACCGGGGGAACUGAAACAUCUAAGUACCCCGAGGAAAAGAAAUCAACCGAGAUUCCCCCAGUAGCGGCGAGCGAACGGGGAGCAGCCCAGAGUCUGAAUCAGCUUGUGUGUUAGUGGAACGGUCUGGAAAGUCCGACGGUACAGGGUGAUAGUCCCGUACACCAAAAUGCACAGGCUGUGAACUCGAAGAGUAGGGCGGGACACGUGGUAUCCUGUCUGAAUAUGGGGGGACCAUCCUCCAAGGCUAAAUACUCCUGACUGACCGAUAGUGAACCAGUACCGUGAGGGAAAGGCGAAAAGAACCCCGGCGAGGGGAGUGAAAAAGAACCUGAAACCGUGUACGUACAAGCAGUGGGAGCACCUUCGGGUGUGACUGCGUACCUUUUGUAUAAUGGGUCAGCGACUUAUAUUCUGUAGCAAGGUUAACCGUAUAGGGGAGCCGCAGGGAAACCGAGUCUUAACUGGGCGUUAAGUUGCAGGGUAUAGACCCGAAACCCGGUGAUCUAGCCAUGGGCAGGUUGAAGGUUGGGUAACACUAACUGGAGGACCGAACCGACUAAUGUUGAAAAAUUAGCGGAUGACUUGUGGCUGGGGGUGAAAGGCCAAUCAAACCGGGAGAUAGCUGGUUCUCCCCGAAAGCUAUUUAGGUAGCGCCUCGUGAACUCAUCUUCGGGGGUAGAGCACUGUUUCGGCUAGGGGGUCAUCCCGACUUACCAACCCGAUGCAAACUACGAAUACCGAAGAAUGUUAUCACGGGAGACACACGGCGGGUGCUAACGUCCGUCGUGAAGAGGGAAACAACCCAGACCGCCAGCUAAGGUCCCAAAGUCAUGGUUAAGUGGGAAACGAUGUGGGAAGGCACAGACAGCCAGGAUGUUGGCUUAGAAGCAGCCAUCAUUUAAAGAAAGCGUAAUAGCUCACUGGUCGAGUCGGCCUGCGCGGAAGAUGUAACGGGGCUAAACCAUGCACCGAAGCUGCGGCAGCGACACUAUGUGUUGUUGGGUAGGGGAGCGUUCUGUAAGCCUGCGAAGGUGACCUGUGAGGGUUGCUGGAGGUAUCAGAAGUGCGAAUGCUGACAUAAGUAACGAUAAAGCGGGUGAAAAGCCCGCUCGCCGGAAGACCAAGGGUUCCUGUCCAACGUUAAUCGGGGCAGGGUGAGUCGACCCCUAAGGCGAGGCCGAAAGGCGUAGUCGAUGGGAAACAGGUUAAUAUUCCUGUACUUGGUGUUACUGCGAAGGGGGGACGGAGAAGGCUAUGUUAGCCGGGCGACGGUUGUCCCGGUUUAAGCAUGUAGGCUGGUUAUCCAGGCAAAUCCGGAUAAUCAAGGCUGAGGUGUGAUGACGAGGCACUACGGUGCUGAAGUAACAAAUGCCCUGCUUCCAGGAAAAGCCUCUAAGCAUCAGGUAACAUCAAAUCGUACCCCAAACCGACACAGGUGGUCAGGUAGAGAAUACCAAGGCGCUUGAGAGAACUCGGGUGAAGGAACUAGGCAAAAUGGUGCCGUAACUUCGGGAGAAGGCACGCUGGUGUGUAGGUGAAGUCCCUGCGGAUGGAGCUGAGACCAGUCGAAGAUACCAGCUGGCUGCAACUGUUUAUUAAAAACACAGCACUGUGCAAACACGAAAGUGGACGUAUACGGUGUGACGCCUGCCCGGUGCCGGAAGGUUAAUUGAUGGGGUUAUCCGUAAGGAGAAGCUCUUGAUCGAAGCCCCGGUAAACGGCGGCCGUAACUAUAACGGUCCUAAGGUAGCGAAAUUCCUUGUCGGGUAAGUUCCGACCUGCACGAAUGGCGUAAUGAUGGCCAGGCUGUCUCCACCCGAGACUCAGUGAAAUUGAACUCGCUGUGAAGAUGCAGUGUACCCGCGGCAAGACGGAAAGACCCCGUGAACCUUUACUAUAGCUUGACACUGAACAUUGAGCCUUGAUGUGUAGGAUAGGUGGGAGGCUUUGAAGCGUGGACGCCAGUCUGCGUGGAGCCAACCUUGAAAUACCACCCUUUAAUGUUUGAUGUUCUAACGUUGGCCCCUUAUCGGGGUUGCGGACAGUGUCUGGUGGGUAGUUUGACUGGGGCGGUCUCCUCCCAAAGCGUAACGGAGGAGCACGAAGGUUAGCUAAUCCUGGUCGGACAUCAGGAGGUUAGUGCAAUGGCAUAAGCUAGCUUGACUGCGAGCGUGACGGCGCGAGCAGGUGCGAAAGCAGGUCAUAGUGAUCCGGUGGUUCUGAAUGGAAGGGCCAUCGCUCAACGGAUAAAAGGUACUCCGGGGAUAACAGGCUGAUACCGCCCAAGAGUUCAUAUCGACGGCGGUGUUUGGCACCUCGAUGUCGGCUCAUCACAUCCUGGGGCUGAAGUAGGUCCCAAGGGUAUGGCUGUUCGCCAUUUAAAGUGGUACGCGAGCUGGGUUUAGAACGUCGUGAGACAGUUCGGUCCCUAUCUGCCGUGGGCGCUGGAGAAUUGAGGGGGGCUGCUCCUAGUACGAGAGGACCGGAGUGGACGCAUCACUGGUGUUCGGGUUGUCAUGCCAAUGGCACUGCCCGGUAGCUAAAUGCGGAAGAGAUAAGUGCUGAAAGCAUCUAAGCACGAAACUUGCCCCGAGAUGAGUUCUCCCUGAGACUUUAAGUCUCCUGAAGGAACGUUAAAGACGAUGACGUUGAUAGGCCGGGUGUGUAAGCGCAGCGAUGCGUUGAGCUAACCGGUACUAAUGAACCGUGAGGCUUAACCUU
RNAcentral lists this ribosomal RNA (2900 nucleotides) under Klebsiella quasipneumoniae. Its description in RNAcentral is "23S ribosomal RNA". It matches the Rfam family "Bacterial large subunit ribosomal RNA". Lineage: Bacteria; Pseudomonadati; Pseudomonadota; Gammaproteobacteria; Enterobacterales; Enterobacteriaceae. The record is from RNAcentral.